GUUCCUUUGCUGGCACAGUGUUCACCACCCUUUCUACUUCAGCUGACCAGGAGUUCAGCAAGACCCUGUGCCUUACCAGCAAGGCAUCCUUUGGUCACCUUUGACUUUCACACAGCACAGAAAUUCUAGACCUGUUUACCCAGUACUUCUGAUCAUGAGCUUGUGGAAGAGGAACAAUAUACUGGAAUCUUUUCAAAAAGAUUUGGAGUAGGGCACUGCACAACCAAACCUGAGCUGAACUUCAAGUUAGAGCAUGGAUUUGGGCCUUAGAGUAAAGCAGAAGCCUCCUUCUGGAACUUUCCAGUACCUGUCCCAGUUGAGACCAUCCAGGCAAAUGGAGAGAGACACUGGUAUGAAGUGAAAACCACCAGCAGCGAUACAUGAAGAGAUGGCUGAAGCACAGCGCAAGGUUCCACAGAAGAUCCAGCAAGGGGAAAACCCUAUUCCUGUGCGGAAACAUACCGCCAAUGGCCACAGCACGAAAGGAAUCAUACAUGCAGGGGAAAGUGUGGGUGUGGUGAGUGCUGUGACAUUUUCCAUGAUAAGUCAACAGUCACUGAACACCCGAGGACGCAAACUAGAGAGAAGACCUAUGAAUGCAAAGAAUGCAGGAAAGGUUUCUACUUCAAGUCACAACUCUUGGGACACCAGAGAACUCAUACAGGAGAGCAGCCCUAUGAAUGUGAGGAAUGUAAGAAAGCCUUCUGCCAUAAGUGGCUCCUAACUUUACAUCAGAGAACUCGUGCCAGUGAGAAGCCUUUUAAAUGUGAGGGACGCAAGAAAGCUUUCUUUUACAGGUCACACCUCAUUCGACAUCAGAGAGCGCGUACUGGUGAGAAGCCCUAUAGAUACAAUGAAUGCAAGAAAACCUUUUUGGCAGAAAUCAAACCUUAUACACCAAAGACCUCAUGCUAGCAAGAAGCCCUAUGAAUGUGAAGAGUACAAGAAUGUUUUCUAUAGUGAGUCAAACCUCACUUUACAGCAGAGAACUCACACAAGGGAGAAGCCCUAUCAGUGUAGAGAAUGCUGGAAAGCUUUCUACAGCAAGUCAAAACUCCUUCAACAUCAGCAACACAUUCAAGUGAGAAUCCUUAUUAUGUAAACAAUACAGAAAAGGUUCUCUACAGCAGCUGUUUCUCUCUUGAAAUUAGAUUUCAUUCAAAGGGGAAACCCCAAGAGUGUGAGUGACACAAGGAGCAUUGUCAUUUAAGUCAGUCUGCAUUACACCUCACUGAACCCAGAAAGUGAGCUCUAGGAACGCAGAUGAAUGAAGCAUUUCUUCUCUAUUUCCAGCCUCUCUCCAUGACCAACUCAAGAGAAAUCCUGGGUAAUGCAUGAACCCUUGCUAUAGAAUGUCGGUCCUCACUUGACAUCAGAGAAAGCAUGCUGAUGAGACCAAUGAAUGCAAACAAUGUUUGAAAAUGUUCUUCUACCAGUCAGGUCUCAAGCCAGCUCUAGGAACACACAGAGGUGCAACAUACCAGGACUGUACAAAUGACAGAAGGAUUUCUACGCAAGUGGCCUCUUUCUGCAUAAGCGACUCAUACAUGUGAAGUAACAUAUGUGUUUAAAGAAAGUCUGUAUAAUUAGUGAAGCCUCAGUUGACUUCAAGAUACACAAGGAGCUUGGAACCUGCCUGCUCUAGGGUGGAGCUACCGG
This is a non-coding RNA of Mus caroli (Ryukyu mouse), 1659 nucleotides long. Lineage: Eukaryota; Metazoa; Chordata; Mammalia; Rodentia; Muridae. The record is from RefSeq and is a predicted model, not a curated record.